GAUGAAGAACGCAGCGAAAUGCGAUAGGUAAUGUGAAUUGCAGAAUUCAGUGAAUCAUCGAAUCUUUGAACGCACAUUGCGCCCCUUGGUAUCCCGAGGGGCAUGCCUGUUCGAGCGUCAUUUCACCACUCAAGCCUGGCUUGGUGUUGGGCGACGUCCCCUUUGGGGACGCGCCUCGAAACGCUCGGCGGCGUGGCACCGGCUUUAAGCGUAGCAGAAUCUUUCGCUUUGGAAGUCGGGGCCCCGUCUGCCGGAAGACCUACUCGCAAGGUUGACCUCGGAUCAGGCAGGGAUACCCGCUGAACUUAAGCAUAUCAAUAAGCGGAGGA
This 329-nucleotide unclassified non-coding RNA is filed under the name soil metagenome. Its description in RNAcentral is "partial contains 5.8S ribosomal RNA, internal transcribed spacer 2, and large subunit ribosomal RNA". The stretch from base 1 to 120 matches the Rfam family "5.8S ribosomal RNA", at positions 35 to 154 of the family's 154-position model. The record is from RNAcentral.